GUGGGGAAUUGUUCACAAUGGGCGCAAGCCUGAUGACGCAACGCCGCGUGGAGGAUGAAGGUCUUCGGAUUGUAAACUCCUGUUGCUCGGGACGAAAAGCUCCGACCCAAUACGUCGGAGUCUGACGGUACCGGGUGAGGAAGCCCCGGCUAACUCUGUGCCAGCAGCCGCGGUAAUACAGAGGGGGCAAGCGUUGUUCGGAAUUACUGGGCGUAAAGGGCGCGUAGGCGGCCUGUUAAGUCGAACGUGAAAUCCCCGGGCUCAACCCGGGAACUGCGUCCGAUACUGGCAGGCUUGAAUCCGGGAGAGGGAUGUGGAAUUCCAGGUGUAGCGGUGAAAUGCGUAGAUAUCUGGAGGAACACCGGUGGCGAAGGCGGCAUCCUGGACCGGCAUUGACGCUGAGGCGCGAAAGCCAGGGGAGCAA
Molecule: ribosomal RNA, 424 nt
Filed under: uncultured bacterium
Lineage: Bacteria
Description: bacterial SSU rRNA
Rfam family: Bacterial small subunit ribosomal RNA
Source: RNAcentral